RNAcentral lists this ribosomal RNA (253 nucleotides) under uncultured bacterium. RNAcentral's name for it is "partial 16S ribosomal RNA". It matches the Rfam family "Bacterial small subunit ribosomal RNA", at positions 524 to 776 of the family's 1533-position model. The record is from RNAcentral.
UACGGAGGAGGCAAGCGUUAUCCGGAAUUAUUGGGCGUAAAGCGUCCGUAGGUGGUCAUUCAAGUCUGCUGUCAAAGCAUGGAGCUUAACUCCAUAGAGGCAGUGGAAACUGAAUAGCUAGAGUUAGGUAGGGGUAGCUGGAAUUCCCAGUGUAGCGGUGAAAUGCGUAGAGAUUGGGAAGAACAUCGGUGGCGAAAGCGCGCUACUGGGCCGAAACUGACACUGAGAGACGAAAGCUAGGGGAGCGAAAGGG